GACGUAGGGUGCGAGCGUUGUCCGGAUUUAUUGGGCGUAAAGAGCUCGUAGGCGGCUCGUCGCGUCGACCGUGAAAACCCGCGGCUUAACUGCGGGCUUGCGGUUGAUACGGGCGGGCUAGAGUUCGGUAGGGGAGACUGGAAUUCCUGGUGUAGCGGUGAAAUGCGCAGAUAUCAGGAGGAACACCGGUGGCGAAGGCGGGUCUCUGGGUUGAUACUGACGCUGAGGUGCGAAAGCGUGGGGAGCAAACAGG
RNAcentral lists this ribosomal RNA (253 nucleotides) under uncultured bacterium. RNAcentral describes it as "partial 16S ribosomal RNA". It matches the Rfam family "Bacterial small subunit ribosomal RNA", at positions 524 to 776 of the family's 1533-position model. The record is from RNAcentral.